RNAcentral lists this ribosomal RNA (1343 nucleotides) under uncultured bacterium. RNAcentral describes it as "16S ribosomal RNA". It matches the Rfam family "Bacterial small subunit ribosomal RNA", at positions 28 to 1378 of the family's 1533-position model. The record is from RNAcentral.
GACGAACGCUGGCGGCGUGCUUAACACAUGCAAGUCGAACGGAAAGGCCCUGCUUUUGUGGGGUGCUCGAGUGGCGAACGGGUGAGUAACACGUGAGUAACCUGCCCUUGACUUUGGGAUAACUUCAGGAAACUGGGGCUAAUACCGGAUAGGAGCUCCUGCUGCAUGGUGGGGGUUGGAAAGUUUCGGCGGUUGGGGAUGGACUCGCGGCUUAUCAGCUUGUUGGUGGGGUAGUGGCUUACCAAGGCUUUGACGGGUAGCCGGCCUGAGAGGGUGACCGGCCACAUUGGGACUGAGAUACGGCCCAGACUCCUACGGGAGGCAGCAGUGGGGAAUAUUGCACAAUGGGCGGAAGCCUGAUGCAGCAACGCCGCGUGCGGGAUGACGGCCUUCGGGUUGUAAACCGCUUUCGCCUGUGACGAAGCGUGAGUGACGGUAAUGGGUAAAGAAGCACCGGCUAACUACGUACCAGCAGCCGCGGUGAUACGUAGGGUGCGAGCGUUGUCCGGAUUUAUUGGGCGUAAAGGGCUCGUAGGUGGUUGAUCGCGUCGGAAGUGUAAUCUUGGGGCUUAACCCUGAGCGUGCUUUCGAUACGGGUUGACUUGAGGAAGGUAGGGGAGAAUGGAAUUCCUGGUGGAGCGGUGGAAUGCGCAGAUAUCAGGAGGAACACCAGUGGCGAAGGCGGUUCUCUGGGCCUUUCCUGACGCUGAGGAGCGAAAGCGUGGGGAGCGAACAGGCUUAGAUACCCUGGUAGUCCACGCUGUAAACGGUGGGUACUAGGUGUGGGGUCCAUUCCACGGGUUCCGUGCCGUAGCUAACGCUUUAAGUACCCCGCCUGGGGAGUACGGCCGCAAGGCUAAAACUCAAAGGAAUUGACGGGGCCCCGCACAAGCGGCGGAGCAUGCGGAUUAAUUCGAUGCAACGCGUAGAACCUUACCUGGGUUUGACAUGGAUCGGGAGCGCUCAGAGAUGGGUGUGCCUCUUUUGGGGUCGGUUCACAGGUGGUGCAUGGCUGUCGUCAGCUCGUGUCGUGAGAUGUUGGGUUAAGUCCCGCAACGAGCGCAACCCUUGUUCACUGUUGCCAGCACGUUAUGGUGGGGACUCAGUGGAGACCGCCGGGGUCAACUCGGAGGAAGGUGGGGAUGACGUCAAGUCAUCAUGCCCCUUAUGUCCAGGGCUUCACGCAUGCUACAAUGGCUGGUACAGAGAGUGGCGAGCCUGUGAGGGUGAGCGAAUCUCGGAAAGCCGGUCUCAGUUCGGAUUGGGGUCUGCAACUCGACCUCAUGAAGUCGGAGUCGCUAGUAAUCGCAGAUCAGCAACGCUGCGGUGAAUACGUUCCCGGG